RNAcentral lists this ribosomal RNA (480 nucleotides) under Lactobacillus gasseri. RNAcentral's name for it is "bacterial SSU rRNA". It matches the Rfam family "Bacterial small subunit ribosomal RNA", at positions 28 to 480 of the family's 1533-position model. The record is from RNAcentral. Lineage: Bacteria; Bacillati; Bacillota; Bacilli; Lactobacillales; Lactobacillaceae.
GACGAACGCUGGCGGCGUGCCUAAUACAUGCAAGUCGAGCGAGCUUGCCUAGAUGAAUUUGGUGCUUGCACCAAAUGAAACUAGAUACAAGCGAGCGGCGGACGGGUGAGUAACACGUGGGUAACCUGCCCAAGAGACUGGGAUAACACCUGGAAACAGAUGCUAAUACCGGAUAACAACACUAGACGCAUGUCUAGAGUUUAAAAGAUGGUUCUGCUAUCACUCUUGGAUGGACCUGCGGUGCAUUAGCUAGUUGGUAGGUAACGGCUUACCAAGGCAAUGAUGCAUAGCCGAGUUGAGAGACUGAUCGGCCACGUUGGGACUGAGACACGGCCCAAACUCCUACGGGAGGCAGCAGUAGGGAAUCUUCCACAAUGGACGCAAGUCUGAUGGAGCAACGCCGCGUGAGUGAAGAAGGGUUUCGGCUCGUAAAGCUCUGUUGGUAGUGAAGAAAGAUAGAGGUAGUAACUGGCCUUUAUU